This 374-nucleotide ribosomal RNA is filed under the name uncultured bacterium. RNAcentral's name for it is "partial 16S ribosomal RNA". It matches the Rfam family "Bacterial small subunit ribosomal RNA", at positions 338 to 729 of the family's 1533-position model. The record is from RNAcentral.
CCUACGAGUGGCAGUAGUAGGGAAUAUUGCUCAAUGGGGGAAACCCUGAAGCAGCAACGCCGCGUGGAGGAUGAAGGUUUUAGGAUUGUAAACUCCUUUUGUGAGGGAAGAUAAUGCCGGUAUCCCACGAAUUAUGACCGGCUAAUCCCGUGCCAGCAGCCGUGGUAAUACGGCGGGAGCAAGCGUUACCCGGAAUCACUGGGCGUAAAGAGUGCGCAGGCGGGCUUGUAAGGCAGAGGUGAAAUCCCGUAGCUUAACUACAGAAUUGCCUUUGAAACUUUGAGGCUAGAGUGUAGGAGAGGUAGGUGGAAUUUAUGGUGUAGCGGUAAAAUGCGUAGAUAUCAAAAAGAACACCCAUUGCGAAGGCAGCCUAC